RNAcentral lists this ribosomal RNA (516 nucleotides) under uncultured Diversispora. RNAcentral describes it as "SSU rRNA". It matches the Rfam family "Eukaryotic small subunit ribosomal RNA", at positions 569 to 1084 of the family's 1831-position model. Lineage: Eukaryota; Fungi; Glomeromycota; Glomeromycetes; Diversisporales; Diversisporaceae. The record is from RNAcentral.
AGCAGCCGCGGUAAUUCCAGCUCCAAUAGCGUAUAUUAAAGUUGUUGCAGUUAAAAAGCUCGUAGUUGAACUUCGGGGUUUAUUCAUUGGUCAGGCUUAACUGUCUGCACUGGUGAGAUGAAUCUCUACCUUCUGAGGAACUUUCAUGCCAUUUAUUUGGUGUGAUGGGAAAUCAGGACUGUUACUUUGAAAAAAUUAGAGUGUUUAAAGCAGGCUAACGUCUGAAUACAUUAGCAUGGAAUAAUGAAAUAGGACGGACUGGUUCUAUUUUGUUGGUUUCUAGGAUCACCGUAAUGAUUAAUAGGGAUAGUUGGGGGCAUUAGUAUUCAAUUGUCAGAGGUGAAAUUCUUGGAUUUAUUGAAGACUAACUACUGCGAAAGCAUUUGCCAAGGAUGUUUUCAUUAAUCAAGAACGAAAGUUAGGGGAUCGAAGACGAUCAGAUACCGUCGUAGUCUUAACCAUAAACUAUGCCGACUAGGGAUCGGACGAAGUUAAUUUUAUAAUGACGCGUUCGGA